Molecule: long non-coding RNA, 208 nt
Filed under: Elaeis guineensis (African oil palm)
Lineage: Eukaryota; Viridiplantae; Streptophyta; Magnoliopsida; Arecales; Arecaceae
Description: long non-coding RNA (EGUI_LNC023780)
Source: RNAcentral
UUUCCUGAGGUCGGCAAUUACAUUACUGAUCGUUGAUCAGGUAAACCCUUGUUAGUCGGACGGUGCAGGAUCGUGUGGUGUUGCGACGGCUUCACGAAAUUGCGUCAAAGACUGGAUGGCCAAAAAAAAAAAAAGGUUUGGAUUGGGACUUCCGUCACAAGUUUGACGGUUGUGUCGGUUGAUAGGGAAAUGGGGAGUGGAUGCCAGG